Saccostrea echinata is the source of this 334-nucleotide long non-coding RNA. RefSeq lists it as uncharacterized. The transcript has 3 exons. NCBI's taxonomy places the organism in Eukaryota, Metazoa, Mollusca, Bivalvia, Ostreida, Ostreidae. The record is from RefSeq and is a predicted model, not a curated record.
UAAAUUAACAGCAAAAUCAUUGAUUUCAUAGGUCUAUUACCCGGAAAAUCAGUGUAGAGUAGAUAAGGUCAUCAGCCUUACCUGGAAUCUGGACUUAGAAACACAUCAAGAUCUUUGCCUCUCUGCGCCACUGAAAUUUCUUCUUGUGCAGAGCGCUAAAUCUUAUCUGGAAAUACAAGCUUCAGGUGUACACGAGAGCACUACUGGGAGAGUGACCAGCGGAUCCUGGAAUACUAGGAUACACAAACAUAACCCUCGACAAUAUCUAGAAGAACUAGUAUUAAUUGUAACGGGGACCGUUACAGAUGUUCCCCAAACGCUCCCCAACUCCCUU